GGAUGGCAGGGAAAUCUGGCUGUGACAUCUGUCACUCUCAUUGGUUGGCAGGGUUAAUUGGGCUGAUCUGCUGGUCCGUGAGGUUGCUCCCUCAUUGCUCCAUGUACUGCCCUCCCAAGCUAUGUGAAUAGGAGUGUGUAUGGGCGGGAAGGGGGUGGUAGGGAGAGGUCCAAGAAGAUGAUCUUCCCAGACUCAGAGCUUUCUUUGGUCAAGACUCUGUCCUCACUAGAACCACCAUAAGGCUCGUGAGGGCCCCGACAGGUUCUAGUGUACAUACACAGGAGGGAAGUUCUUUUCCC
Molecule: small nuclear RNA, 299 nt
Filed under: Sorex araneus (European shrew)
Lineage: Eukaryota; Metazoa; Chordata; Mammalia; Eulipotyphla; Soricidae
Description: 7SK RNA (ENSSARG00000019325.1)
Rfam family: 7SK RNA
About the family: 7SK was discovered as an abundant small nuclear RNA in the mid-70s but a possible function has only recently been suggested. Two independent studies have found that 7SK RNA binds the CDK9/cyclin T complex (known as elongation factor P-TEFb). P-TEFb activates transcription by phosphorylating the C-terminal domain of RNA polymerase II.
Source: RNAcentral